Molecule: ribosomal RNA, 522 nt
Filed under: uncultured Duganella sp.
Lineage: Bacteria; Pseudomonadati; Pseudomonadota; Betaproteobacteria; Burkholderiales; Oxalobacteraceae
Description: bacterial SSU rRNA
Rfam family: Bacterial small subunit ribosomal RNA
Source: RNAcentral
AGAGUUUGAUUCUGGCUCAGAUUGAACGCUGGCGGCAUGCCUUACACAUGCAAGUCGAACGGCAGCGCGGGGCAACCUGGCGGCGAGUGGCGAACGGGUGAGUAAUAUAUCGGAACGUGCCCUGGAGUGGGGGAUAACGCAGCGAAAGUUGCGCUAAUACCGCAUACGAUCUAAGGAUGAAAGCAGGGGACCGCAAGGCCUUGUGCUCCUGGAGCGGCCGAUAUCUGAUUAGCUAGUUGGUGGGGUAAAGGCCUACCAAGGCAUCGAUCAGUAGCUGGUCUGAGAGGACGACCAGCCACACUGGAACUGAGACACGGUCCAGACUCCUACGGGAGGCAGCAGUGGGGAAUAUUGGACAAUGGGCGAAAGCCUGAUCCAGCCAUGCCGCGUGUGUGAAGAAGGUCUUCGGAUUGUAAAGCACUUUAAGUUGGGAGGAAGGGCAGUUACCUAAUACGUAUCUGUUUUGACGUUACCGACAGAAUAAGCACCGGCUAACUCUGUGCCAGCCGCCGCGGUAAUACA